Molecule: ribosomal RNA, 496 nt
Filed under: uncultured bacterium
Lineage: Bacteria
Description: partial 16S ribosomal RNA
Rfam family: Bacterial small subunit ribosomal RNA
Source: RNAcentral
GAUGAACGCUGGCGGCGUGCCUAAUACAUGCCAGUCGAGCGAACAGACGAGGAGCUUGCUCCUCUGACGUUAGCGGCGGACGGGUGAGUAACACGUGGAUAACCUACCUAUAAGACUGGGAUAACUUCGGGAAACCGGAGCUAAUACCGGAUAAUAUAUUGAACCGCAUGGUUCAAUAGUGAAAGACGGUUUUGCUGUCACUUAUAGAUGGAUCCGCGCCGCAUUAGCUAGUUGGUAAGGUAACGGCUUACCAAGGCAACGAUGCGUAGCCGACCUGAGAGGGUGAUCGGCCACACUUGAACUGAGACACGGUCCAGAAUCCUACGGGAGGCAGCAGUAGGGAAUCUUCCGCAAUGGGCGAAAGCCUGACGGAGCACCGCCGCGUGAGUGAUGAAGGUCUUCGGAUCGUAAAACUCUGUUAUGAGGGAAGAACAAAUGUGUAAGUAACUAUGCACGUCUUGACGGUACCUAAUCAGAAAGCCACGGCUAACUACGU